CCUACGGGAGGCAGCAGUAGGGAAUAUUGCGCAAUGGGGGAAACCCUGACGCAGUGACGCCGCGUGAGUGAUGAAGGUUUUCGGAUCGUAAAGCUCUGUCAGAUGGGAAGAAUAAGGGCAGGGAAAAUAUUUCUGCCUGAUGACGGUACCAUCAAAGGAAGCACCGGCUAACUCCGUGCCAGCAGCCGCGGUAAU
This 195-nucleotide ribosomal RNA is filed under the name uncultured bacterium. RNAcentral's name for it is "partial 16S ribosomal RNA". It matches the Rfam family "Bacterial small subunit ribosomal RNA", at positions 338 to 524 of the family's 1533-position model. The record is from RNAcentral.